GAUAAACGCUGGCGGCGUGCUUAACACAUGCAAGUCGAACGGAGUACUUCUCCCGAGACUGAGGAAGCUUGCUUCCAAAGAAUCAUUUGAAGUACUUAGUGGCGGACGGGUGAGUAACGCGUGGGUAACCUGCCUCACACAGGGGGAUAACAGUUGGAAACGACUGUUAAUACCGCAUAAGCGCACAGUACCGCAUGGUACAGUGUGAAAAGCUCCGACGGUGUGAGAUGGACCCGCGUCUGAUUAGCUAGUUGGUGAGGUAACGGCCCACCAAGGCGACGAUCAGUAGCCGGCCUGAGAGGGUGUACGGCCACAUUGGGACUGAGACACGGCCCAAACUCC
RNAcentral lists this ribosomal RNA (342 nucleotides) under uncultured Coprococcus sp. RNAcentral's name for it is "bacterial SSU rRNA". It matches the Rfam family "Bacterial small subunit ribosomal RNA", at positions 28 to 339 of the family's 1533-position model. The record is from RNAcentral. Lineage: Bacteria; Bacillati; Bacillota; Clostridia; Lachnospirales; Lachnospiraceae.